This 713-nucleotide unclassified non-coding RNA is filed under the name Hevea brasiliensis (rubber tree). The record is from RNAcentral. Lineage: Eukaryota; Viridiplantae; Streptophyta; Magnoliopsida; Malpighiales; Euphorbiaceae.
GACAAAGAAAGUUGUGGUUCCUUUGGGGGAAAUUAUUUUAGUGGUGUCCUCCCUUAAAUUAGGGAUUAUAGUAUUCAUUGCUUUAUAAUGAAUUCUGUAAAUAAGAAUUAUAUUCUCAGAUCCUGGUAACAUAUCAUAACCAAAUGUUUUAAUAUCCAAAGACAAAGCUUUCAUUAUGUGAGGAUCUUCUAUGGACAAAGUGAAAUUUGGAUAGCACGAAAAAUAAAUUGGCCCAUCACAAAGAUGAUUCUACUAUUCCUAAUAAGGAACCAUUGAAAUUAUUGUCUCUUAUCUCGAACACAGAUUAGGGCUGAGGUGUUUAAUCCUAGCCUUGUUGCUGGUUUUAGGGCAAUUUGAAUCAUUCCUAUAUGAAGGAAAGAAUAUUCCUUUUGAUGCUUUUUUAAAAGAUCUUAUGAAAAAAAGACUCCUAGAGUGUAAUCCUUCAUGGAUAGGAGUUGCUUGUUCAACAGUUUUGACCACAUAAUCAGAUUUAAACAAAAAACUAGCAUUUGACUUAUAGAUGAGAUUAGAAGAGAUGGGAGGUAACUUCCAAUUAUUUAAGUUAUUUUCUACAUUAGAUAGUAAUAACAUUUCUUUAUUUUUUGAUUUCUUCUUUUCCUUCUCUUUAAACCUAGCACUAGAACUCCUAGAGCUACUAGAGAGACUAGCAAAUAUCUUAUCCAUUAAUCCUAGAUCACUGUCAACGAUGUUAC